CGCGCUCUAGCUUUCCAAGGAAACCAGCAGCCGAGCAGCGGGACUCGGGGACUCGUCAAGAAGGGGUUUAGAAGGUUUUGGAUUGGGAGUUGGGGAUGGUGUGGCGGCGGCGGUGGUGGUUGGUGAGCUGGCGUCGCGGCCGAAGCAGGGGUUUGUGUAGCGGCGGCUGGCGGAUCAGCAGCGGCUCGUGGGAAGAGAUGGUUCCUUUGGGAAGCAGCGAAGCAAGGGUAGGGGGCGCGUGGGUCGCGGACGAAGGAGGUCUCCUUUCGGCGGCUGGCGGGAGGUAGGGGUGGUGUUGUUGCUGGAGGAGGUGUCCAAAGGAGGCGGCUCGUCCGGAGGAGGAGGAGUUCGAAAGAGGGGGCUCGUCCCGGAGGAGGAGGUGCUCGUAGGAAGGGACUCGUGAUUCAACCCAGCGGAGGACAAAGGGAGUGGGCUCGUCGCCCGGAAGGACAUGCCGGGGAGAGAGCUCUUCGAGGUGGAGGAGAUGUAGGAGGGGGUCCACGUCGCGGCGGAGGAACGAGUGCCUCUCGUGAACCGGCAUACGGACAACAAACAGGAGAGGUGGUUCGUCGCAGCUGAUGAGGUAUGUUCGUGUAUUCGAAUACGAGAAGACUAAUAUAUAAAUGGUUACUGAUAAUACCAACUAUCGAAUUUUCAGAAACGAAGAUAUAUACGUCGACUCUCACUGAAUAUUCAAGUACCGUUUUGGUCGUUGUGCUCAUGCGUUGGUGUUCGUUCGACUCCUCAAUGGAGACUCAACUAUGUAAAAUGACAGAGCUCUAAGAAAACCGUAGGGACUUGUCAAAGGCGACUAGGUUUAAUAGUAGGGAGUACAAUACCCGGAGUUUCUCGUCGACUUUCUGAUUAAAUUCCACGUUCACCUAUUCAGAUCGUUUACGUCAUUACACUGGUGUUCGUUCAACUCCUCCAUUAUACGUAGAAGUUGAAACUAAAAAACGACAUGUCAGGAGACCAAAAAGUUUAAACAAAACACCUAAGAAAGAAAACAAGAUCCAACUGAAAGUAUAGUCUAGACUUUCAAAUGACUAUUUUAAUCACGUUAGAUAAAGAACCUACUCGAACCUGAUAUGUCAAAUCACUUCGUUCGUUGUUACAAUGUGUAAGAACAAAACAGUAUAAACGGGUACCUUCUAAAACAUACACUUCGCGUUUAUUAAAGACGAACUAGAUUAAUACAUGCAUUAUUAGUGAUGAACAACACUACUACUUCACGUAUUGUAAGUCUUCUCAAUAUACGACUGCAAUUUGACGUCGUGUAGUUUUAGAAAUUAUACAACUAAAUUUUAAACUUUGCUAUCGUGGUAAAAGACUCAAAGGCUAAACAACGUCCAAAGAGUUCUAUGUGUUCAACUACCUCCAAACCUUCUAGAUGUUCAACGAGACCUCCAAAACUUCCAGACUGUUCAACGACCUCACUACUAUAUAUACAUUAUACAGAACAAACAACUUGGAGGUCUAUAACUGUUCAAAAUGUGACGAGUAAAACCACCAACAAAGUCGUCUGUUCGGUAACAUACGGUUAAAACCAACGCACCGUACUAAAGAAAUGGAAUUUGUAUACAUGAAACGUAAAACUCCGUAUAUUACAGAUAUAUACAUGCCAAGUACGUACACAAUUUUUGUAUACAAAAAGCAGAUAAAUACAAUAACGUACUCCAGAAUGUACAUUAGACUAACUUGCAUACACAUUCAACACACUAGACAG
This 1726-nucleotide ribosomal RNA is filed under the name Triticum aestivum (bread wheat). Its description in RNAcentral is "partial small subunit ribosomal RNA". The record is from RNAcentral. Lineage: Eukaryota; Viridiplantae; Streptophyta; Magnoliopsida; Poales; Poaceae.